GGGGCGUCCUAUCAUGCAGUAGACGCUGAGAGAGGAGCUUGCUCUUCUUGGAUGAGUUGCGAACGGGUGAGUAACGCGUAGGUAACCUGCCUUGUAGCGGGGGAUAACUAUUGGAAACGAUAGCUAAUACCGCAUAACAAUGGAUGACACAUGUCAUUUAUUUGAAAGGGGCAAUUGCUCCACUACAAGAUGGACCUGCGUUGUAUUAGCUAGUAGGUGAGGUAAUGGCUCACCUAGGCGACGAUACAUAGCCGACCUGAGAGGGUGAUCGGCCACACUGGGACUGAGACACGGCCCAGACUCCUACGGGAGGCAGCAGUAGGGAAUCUUCGGCAAUGGGGGCAACCCUGACCGAGCAACGCCGCGUGAGUGAAGAAGGUUUUCGGAUCGUAAAGCUCUGUUGUAAGUCAAGAACGGGUGUGAAAAUGGAAAGU
Molecule: ribosomal RNA, 434 nt
Filed under: Streptococcus thermophilus
Lineage: Bacteria; Bacillati; Bacillota; Bacilli; Lactobacillales; Streptococcaceae
Description: bacterial SSU rRNA
Rfam family: Bacterial small subunit ribosomal RNA
Source: RNAcentral